GCUUGUAGGUGGGGUAACGGCUCACCUAGGCGACGCUCCCUAGCUGGUCUGAGAGGAUGACCAGCCACACUGGAACUGAGACACGGUCCAGACUCCUACGGGAGGCAGCAGUGGGGAAUAUUGCACAAUGGGCGCAAGCCUGAUGCAGCCAUGCCGCGUGUGUGAAGAAGGCCUUCGGGUUGUAAAGCACUUUCAGCGGGGAGGAAGGCGGUGAGGUUAAUAACCUCAUCGAUUGACGUUACCCGCAGAUGAAGCACCGGCUAACUCCGUGCCAGCAGCCGCGGUAAUACGGAGGGUGCAAGCG
RNAcentral lists this ribosomal RNA (304 nucleotides) under Klebsiella pneumoniae. Its description in RNAcentral is "bacterial SSU rRNA". It matches the Rfam family "Bacterial small subunit ribosomal RNA", at positions 244 to 540 of the family's 1533-position model. The record is from RNAcentral. Lineage: Bacteria; Pseudomonadati; Pseudomonadota; Gammaproteobacteria; Enterobacterales; Enterobacteriaceae.